This 405-nucleotide ribosomal RNA is filed under the name uncultured bacterium. RNAcentral's name for it is "partial 16S ribosomal RNA". It matches the Rfam family "Bacterial small subunit ribosomal RNA", at positions 30 to 526 of the family's 1533-position model. The record is from RNAcentral.
AUUGAACGCUGGCGGCAGGCCUAACACAUGCAAGUCGAACGAGUGGCGGACGGGUGAGUAAUGUUUGGGAAACUGGCUGAUGGAGGGGGAUAACGACGGGAAACGGUCGCUAAUACCGCGUACCAUAGGAUGAGCCCAAGUGGGAUUAGGUAGUUGGUGGGGUAAUGGCCGACCAAGCCGACGAUCUCUAGCUGGUCUGAGAGGAUGACCAGCCACACCGGGACUGAGACACGGCCCGGACUCCUACGGGAGGCAGCAGUGGGGAAUAUUGCGCAAUGGGGGCAACCUGACGCAGCCAUGCCGCGUGAAUGAAGAAGGCCUUCGGGUUGUAAAGUUCUUUCGGUGACGAGGCGUUAAUCACAGAAGAAGCACCGGCUAACUCCGUGCCAGCAGCCGCGGUAAUUC